AGCAGCCGCGGUAAUUCCAGCUCCAAUAGCGUAUAUUAAAGUUGUUGCAGUUAAAAAGCUCGUAGUUGAAUUUCGGGGUCAGUAGAUUGGUCAUGCCUCCGGUAUGUACUGGUCUUACUGGCUCCUCCUUCCUGAUGAACCGUAAUGCCAUUAAUUUGGUGUUGCGGGGAGACUGGACUGUUACUUUGAAAAAUUAGAGUGUUUAAAGCAGGCUAACGCUUGAAUACAUUAGCAUGGAAUAAUGAAAUAGGACGUUCGAUCUUAUUUUGUUGGUUUCUAAGAUUGACGUAAUGAUUAAUAGGGAUAGUUGGGGGCAUUAGUAUUCAAUUGUCAGAGGUGAAAUUCUUGGAUUUAUUGAAGACUAACUACUGCGAAAGCAUUUGCCAAGGAUGUUUUCAUUAAUCAAGAACGAAAGUUAGGGGAUCGAAGACGAUCAGAUACCGUCGUAGUCUUAACCAUAAACUAUGCCGA
Molecule: ribosomal RNA, 471 nt
Filed under: uncultured Glomus
Lineage: Eukaryota; Fungi; Glomeromycota; Glomeromycetes; Glomerales; Glomeraceae
Description: SSU rRNA
Rfam family: Eukaryotic small subunit ribosomal RNA
Source: RNAcentral